RNAcentral lists this ribosomal RNA (500 nucleotides) under uncultured cyanobacterium. RNAcentral describes it as "bacterial SSU rRNA". It matches the Rfam family "Bacterial small subunit ribosomal RNA", at positions 356 to 869 of the family's 1533-position model. The record is from RNAcentral. Lineage: Bacteria; Bacillati; Cyanobacteriota.
GGGGAAUUUUCCGCAAUGGGCGCAAGCCUGACGGAGCAAGACCGCGUGAGGGAAGAAGGUCUGUGGAUUGUAAACCUCUUUUGAUAGGGAAGAAGACAGUGACGGUACCUAUCGAAUCAGCCUCGGCUAACUCCGUGCCAGCAGCCGCGGUAAUACGGAGGAGGCAAGCGUUAUCCGGAAUUAUUGGGCGUAAAGAGUCCGUAGGUGGGUAACCAAGUCAGCUGUUAAAUAGUGAAGCUUAACUUCAUAGAGGCGGCUGAAACUGGUUGUCUAGAGUGUGGUAGGGGUAGAGGGAAUUUCCAGUGUAGCGGUGAAAUGCGUAGAUAUUGGAAAGAACACCGGUGGCGAAAGCGCUCUACUGGGCCUGCACUGACACUGAGGGACGAAAGCUAGGGGAGCGAAAGGGAUUAGAUACCCCUGUAGUCCUAGCCGUAAACGAUGGAUACUAGGCGUUGCCCGUAUCGACCCGGGCAGUGUCGUAGCCAACGCGUUAAGUAUCC